GCCUAGUUCUCAAAUUAUUUCCCUAAAAACUGCCUAGUUCUCAACUUAUCUC
Molecule: small RNA, 52 nt
Filed under: Arabidopsis thaliana (thale cress)
Lineage: Eukaryota; Viridiplantae; Streptophyta; Magnoliopsida; Brassicales; Brassicaceae
Description: ATSL135480
Source: RNAcentral